RNAcentral lists this ribosomal RNA (309 nucleotides) under uncultured archaeon. RNAcentral's name for it is "bacterial SSU rRNA". It matches the Rfam family "Archaeal small subunit ribosomal RNA", at positions 526 to 834 of the family's 1478-position model. The record is from RNAcentral.
UGGCCUCGCAAGUCCGUCGGGAAAUCCAGUAGCCCAACUACUGGGCGUCCGGCGGAAACUCCGAGGCUUGGGACCGGAAGGCUCGAGGGGUACGUCCGGGGUAGGAGUGAAAUCCCGUAAUCCCGAACGGACCACCGAUGGCGAAAGCACCUCGAGAAAACGGCUCCGACAGUGAGGGACGAAAGCUAGGGUCUCGAACCGGAUUAGAUACCCGGGUAGUCCUAGCCGUAAACGAUGUUCGCUAGGUGUGGCACUCGCUACGAGCGAGUGCUGUGCCGUAGGGAAGCCGAGAAGCGAACCGCCUGGGAA